RNAcentral lists this transfer RNA (76 nucleotides) under Clostridioides difficile. RNAcentral describes it as "tRNA-Met". It matches the Rfam family "tRNA". From Rfam's summary of the family: Transfer RNA (tRNA) molecules are approximately 80 nucleotides in length. The record is from RNAcentral. Lineage: Bacteria; Bacillati; Bacillota; Clostridia; Peptostreptococcales; Peptostreptococcaceae.
GGUCAUGAGCUCAGUUGGUUAGAGCGCCCGGCUCAUAACCGGUACGUCUGGGGUACGUGUGCCUAAUAGACCACCA